Molecule: ribosomal RNA, 489 nt
Filed under: uncultured bacterium
Lineage: Bacteria
Description: bacterial SSU rRNA
Rfam family: Bacterial small subunit ribosomal RNA
Source: RNAcentral
AGAGUUUGAUUCUGGCUCAGAACGAACGCUGGCGGCAUGGAUUAGGCAUGCAAGUCGAACGGAUGCAGCAAUGCAUUAGUGGCGAAAGGGGUGAGGAACGCGUGAGUAACCUGCCCCCAAGUUGGGAAUAACAGUUGGAAACGACUGCUAAUACCUGAUGCGAUUGUUUUUUCGGCAUCGAGAAACAAUUAAAGAUUUAUCGCUUGGGGAUGGGCUCGCGUCCCAUUAGGUAGUUGGUGAGGUAACGGCUCACCAAGCCGACGAUGGGUAGCUGGUCUGAGAGGAUGGUCAGCCACACUGGGACUGAGACACUGCCCAGACUCCUACGGGAGGCUGCAGUCGAGAAUCUUCCGCAAUGCGCGAAAGCGUGACGGAGCCAAUGCCGCGUGCCGGAUGAAGGUCUUCGGAUCGUAAACGGCUGUCAGAUGGGACGAAUAAAGUGACGGUACCAUCAAAGGAAGCCACGGCUAACUACGUGCCAGCCGCCGC